CCAAAUAAAAAGGCUAAAGUUCCUCGGCGCUAGAUGCUUCCGAGCCAGCAUUGUAUUUACAUUACCUUUCCUUUGAGAUGAAGCAAGAAACGAUGCUGGAGCCUGGACCUCUUGGCGAAACAUAUUUCCUGUACCUUACCUCGGUAGAAGGAAACAACGAAUGUCGCAUUACUAAUGGUACGAGGAAGAUAACAGAUGCUGUCCUAAUUCUGUGAGCUUUUGUUCCGAUGGAGGAGGAUCUUUCUUAUAGCGAAGCUAUACCGAAUAUGUCAAGUAAUGAUGUUGCUUCUGCUUAUUUGCUAAAGCAGUUCACAAAACAAAUGUGAUGUUGCAGUGAUACGGCAAUUUUCAGCAACGAUGAUCAGCAGAUCCCAAGCGCUGUUCAUUCAAUCUUUUGAUGGCCGAAUCCAGAGUCAUUAC
Molecule: long non-coding RNA, 420 nt
Filed under: Eucalyptus grandis
Lineage: Eukaryota; Viridiplantae; Streptophyta; Magnoliopsida; Myrtales; Myrtaceae
Description: long non-coding RNA (EGRA_LNC000821)
Source: RNAcentral